UACGUAGGGGGCAAGCGUUGUCCGGAUUUAUUGGGCGUAAAGGGCGCGUAGGCGGCCUUUCAAGUGACGGGUGAAAUCCCUCGGCUUAACCGAGGAACUGCCUGUCAGACUGGAAGGCUUGAGACCGGGAGAGGUGAGUGGAAUUCCCAGUGUAGCGGUGAAAUGCGAAGAUAUUGGGAGGAACACCAGUGGCGAAGGCGGCUCACUGGACCGGUACUGACGCUGAGGCGCGAAAGCGUGGGGAGCAAACAGG
Molecule: ribosomal RNA, 253 nt
Filed under: uncultured bacterium
Lineage: Bacteria
Description: partial 16S ribosomal RNA
Rfam family: Bacterial small subunit ribosomal RNA
Source: RNAcentral